Molecule: long non-coding RNA, 612 nt
Organism: Malurus melanocephalus (red-backed fairy wren)
Lineage: Eukaryota; Metazoa; Chordata; Aves; Passeriformes; Maluridae
Exons: 2
Source: RefSeq, a predicted model, not a curated record
UUUUCUGAAUCAGAGCAGAGAGAAUUAGAACAAAAAAAUUCUAUUUUAUUAACAGCAAUUCAUAUGAAUUCCACCACUUGAACCAGUGUUUUAUUUUCUGUUAAUAAAAAUCGAUUUUGACAAAAAUCUGAUUCCGUUUUCUCGCCCCGACCCCGCAUCUUUUCUCUUCCCUGCUUUGCUGCAAGCGGCUCCAAUGCCAUAAAUUAGGUGGGAAUGUGGAAAUGACAACGAGGGAAAAAAAGGGACACGAGAAUGGCUCUAAUGGAACCCACAAAUUUGCAGGUUUGGGUUGGUUUUUCAUUGUUUUUUUUGGAAUAUGACAGCAUCCUUUUAGGAAUAAGGGGUUUUGCUUAAUAAACAGCCAUUGUGGGCUAUUUUUUCUGUAUCAGAGCAGAGAGAAUUAGAACAAAAAAAAAUUCUAUUAACAGCAAUUCAUAUGAAUUCCACCACUUGAACCAGUGUUUUAUUUUCUGUUAAUAAAAAUCGAUUUUGACAAAAAAUCUGAUUCCGUUUUCUCGCCCCGACCCCACAUCUUUUCUCUUCCCUGCUUUGCUGCAAGCGGCCCCAGAUGCCAUAAAUUAGGUGGGAAUGUGGAAAUGACAACGAGGGAAA